RNAcentral lists this unclassified non-coding RNA (213 nucleotides) under Hevea brasiliensis (rubber tree). The record is from RNAcentral. Lineage: Eukaryota; Viridiplantae; Streptophyta; Magnoliopsida; Malpighiales; Euphorbiaceae.
UCUCCCUCGCUAAAAUGGCUUGCAAUUCCUACAUUUUUGGCCCUCAACAUCUCCACAAGCUCCAUCUGACGAUCAAUCGUUGGGUCACCAUCGCAUCCAGUCACCAACACUCUCCAUCCCAGCAACCUCAUGUUCUCCCAGAGUUUCGACCCACCAUUGGCCGUUGGAUUGCAAUAUUCAUGAUCACGGUCAACCCCAAUUGGCAAGGACAAG